UUAAGCGACUAAGCGUACACGGUGGAUGCCCUGGCAGUCAGAGGCGAUGAAGGACGUGCUAAUCUGCGAUAAGCGUCGGUAAGGUGAUAUGAACCGUUAUAACCGGCGAUUUCCGAAUGGGGAAACCCAGUGUGAUUCGUCACACUAUCAUUAACUGAAUCCAUAGGUUAAUGAGGCGAACCGGGGGAACUGAAACAUCUAAGUACCCCGAGGAAAAGAAAUCAACCGAGAUUCCCCCAGUAGCGGCGAGCGAACGGGGAGCAGCCCAGAGCCUGAAUCAGUGUGUGUGUUAGUGGAAGCGUCUGGAAAGGCGCGCGAUACAGGGUGACAGCCCCGUACACAAAAAUGCACAUGCUGUGAGCUCGAUGAGUAGGGCGGGACACGUGGUAUCCUGUCUGAAUAUGGGGGGACCAUCCUCCAAGGCUAAAUACUCCUGACUGACCGAUAGUGAACCAGUACCGUGAGGGAAAGGCGAAAAGAACCCCGGCGAGGGGAGUGAAAAAGAACCUGAAACCGUGUACGUACAAGCAGUGGGAGCACAGAGCAAUCUGUGUGACUGCGUACCUUUUGUAUAAUGGGUCAGCGACUUAUAUUCUGUAGCAAGGUUAACCGAAUAGGGGAGCCGAAGGGAAACCGAGUCUUAACUGGGCGUUAAGUUGCAGGGUAUAGACCCGAAACCCGGUGAUCUAGCCAUGGGCAGGUUGAAGGUUGGGUAACACUAACUGGAGGACCGAACCGACUAAUGUUGAAAAAUUAGCGGAUGACUUGUGGCUGGGGGUGAAAGGCCAAUCAAACCGGGAGAUAGCUGGUUCUCCCCGAAAGCUAUUUAGGUAGCGCCUCGUGAAUUCAUCUCCGGGGGUAGAGCACUGUUUCGGCAAGGGGGUCAUCCCGACUUACCAACCCGAUGCAAACUGCGAAUACCGGAGAAUGUUAUCACGGGAGACACACGGCGGGUGCUAACGUCCGUCGUGAAGAGGGAAACAACCCAGACCGCCAGCUAAGGUCCCAAAGUCAUGGUUAAGUGGGAAACGAUGUGGGAAGGCCCAGACAGCCAGGAUGUUGGCUUAGAAGCAGCCAUCAUUUAAAGAAAGCGUAAUAGCUCACUGGUCGAGUCGGCCUGCGCGGAAGAUGUAACGGGGCUAAACCAUGCACCGAAGCUGCGGCAGCGACGCUUAUGCGUUGUUGGGUAGGGGAGCGUUCUGUAAGCCUGUGAAGGUGUGCUGUGAGGUAUGCUGGAGGUAUCAGAAGUGCGAAUGCUGACAUAAGUAACGAUAAAGCGGGUGAAAAGCCCGCUCGCCGGAAGACCAAGGGUUCCUGUCCAACGUUAAUCGGGGCAGGGUGAGUCGACCCCUAAGGCGAGGCCGAAAGGCGUAGUCGAUGGGAAACAGGUUAAUAUUCCUGUACUUGGUGUUACUGCGAAGGGGGGACGGAGAAGGCUAUGUUGGCCGGGCGACGGUUGUCCCGGUUUAAGCGUGUAGGCUGGUUUUCCAGGCAAAUCCGGAAAAUCAAGGCUGAGGCGUGAUGACGAGGCACUACGGUGCUGAAGCAACAAAUGCCCUGCUUCCAGGAAAAGCCUCUAAGCAUCAGGUAACAUCAAAUCGUACCCCAAACCGACACAGGUGGUCAGGUAGAGAAUACCAAGGCGCUUGAGAGAACUCGGGUGAAGGAACUAGGCAAAAUGGUGCCGUAACUUCGGGAGAAGGCACGCUGAUAUGUAGGUGAAGCGACUUGCUCGUGGAGCUGAAAUCAGUCGAAGAUACCAGCUGGCUGCAACUGUUUAUUAAAAACACAGCACUGUGCAAACACGAAAGUGGACGUAUACGGUGUGACGCCUGCCCGGUGCCGGAAGGUUAAUUGAUGGGGUCAGCGCAAGCGAAGCUCUUGAUCGAAGCCCCGGUAAACGGCGGCCGUAACUAUAACGGUCCUAAGGUAGCGAAAUUCCUUGUCGGGUAAGUUCCGACCUGCACGAAUGGCGUAAUGAUGGCCAGGCUGUCUCCACCCGAGACUCAGUGAAAUUGAACUCGCUGUGAAGAUGCAGUGUACCCGCGGCAAGACGGAAAGACCCCGUGAACCUUUACUAUAGCUUGACACUGAACAUUGAGCCUUGAUGUGUAGGAUAGGUGGGAGGCUUUGAAGUGUGGACGCCAGUCUGCAUGGAGCCGACCUUGAAAUACCACCCUUUAAUGUUUGAUGUUCUAACGUUGACCCGUAAUCCGGGUUGCGGACAGUGUCUGGUGGGUAGUUUGACUGGGGCGGUCUCCUCCUAAAGAGUAACGGAGGAGCACGAAGGUUGGCUAAUCCUGGUCGGACAUCAGGAGGUUAGUGCAAUGGCAUAAGCCAGCUUGACUGCGAGCGUGACGGCGCGAGCAGGUGCGAAAGCAGGUCAUAGUGAUCCGGUGGUUCUGAAUGGAAGGGCCAUCGCUCAACGGAUAAAAGGUACUCCGGGGAUAACAGGCUGAUACCGCCCAAGAGUUCAUAUCGACGGCGGUGUUUGGCACCUCGAUGUCGGCUCAUCACAUCCUGGGGCUGAAGUAGGUCCCAAGGGUAUGGCUGUUCGCCAUUUAAAGUGGUACGCGAGCUGGGUUUAGAACGUCGUGAGACAGUUCGGUCCCUAUCUGCCGUGGGCGCUGGAGAACUGAGGGGGGCUGCUCCUAGUACGAGAGGACCGGAGUGGACGCAUCACUGGUGUUCGGGUUGUCAUGCCAAUGGCACUGCCCGGUAGCUAAAUGCGGAAGAGAUAAGUGCUGAAAGCAUCUAAGCACGAAACUUGCCCCGAGAUGAGUUCUCCCUGACCCUUUAAGGGGCCUGAAGGAACGUUGAAGACGACGACGUUGAUAGGCCGGGUGUGUAAGCGCAGCGAUGCGUUGAGCUAACCGGUACUAAUGAACCGUGAGGCUUAACCUU
RNAcentral lists this ribosomal RNA (2904 nucleotides) under Escherichia coli STEC O174:H8 str. 02-07607. RNAcentral's name for it is "bacterial LSU rRNA". It matches the Rfam family "Bacterial large subunit ribosomal RNA". The record is from RNAcentral. Lineage: Bacteria; Pseudomonadati; Pseudomonadota; Gammaproteobacteria; Enterobacterales; Enterobacteriaceae.